This 498-nucleotide ribosomal RNA is filed under the name uncultured bacterium. RNAcentral describes it as "bacterial SSU rRNA". It matches the Rfam family "Bacterial small subunit ribosomal RNA", at positions 8 to 502 of the family's 1533-position model. The record is from RNAcentral.
AGAGUUUGAUCCUGGCUCAGGAUGAACGCUAGCGGCAGGCCUAACACAUGCAAGUCGAGGGGCAGCAUAUCGCUUCGGUGAUGAUGGCGACCGGCGCACGGGUGAGUAUCGCGUUUGUAACCUACCCUUAACAGGGGGAUAGCUUCCGGAAACGGAAAUUAAUACCUCAUAAUAUUUAAGCACGGCAUCGUGCUUUCAUUAAAGCUCCGGCGGUUAAGGAUGGGCAUACGUGACAUUAGUUUGUUGGUAAGGUAACGGCUUACCAAGACUACGAUGUCUAGGGGGUCUGAGAGGAUGAUCCCCCACACUGGUACUGAGACACGGACCAGACUCCUACGGGAGGCAGCAGUGAGGAAUAUUGGGCAAUGGACGAAAGUCUGACCCAGCCAUGCCGCGUGCAGGAUGACGGCCCUAUGGGUUGUAAACUGCUUUUAUACAAGAAGAAACCCUUCUACGUGUAGAAGGUUGACGGUACUGUAAGAAUAAGCAUCGCUAACU